Molecule: ribosomal RNA, 647 nt
Filed under: Cladonia sulphurina
Lineage: Eukaryota; Fungi; Ascomycota; Lecanoromycetes; Lecanorales; Cladoniaceae
Description: eukaryotic LSU rRNA
Rfam family: 5.8S ribosomal RNA (bases 289-442)
Source: RNAcentral
AAGUCGUAACAAGGUUUCCGUAGGUGAACCUGCGGAAGGAUCAUUAAUGAGUUUGGGGGCCUAGCCCCAGCGGUGGGUGUCUGUUCGAGUCCGUCAGGGCUCGGCCAGCGCUCGUCGUGUAUCUCAACCCCAUGUUUACCUUACCUUUGUUGCUUUGGCGGGCCUUGAGUAGGCUAUACGGCUCAUGCCGGCCCCCAGCGUUUUCUUGCUGGGGGGCGGCUCGCGCCCGCCGGAGGUUCAACCAAAUUCUGUUUAUUAGUGAAGUCCGAGUCAAAAUUAAAUAAUCAAAACUUUCAACAACGGAUCUCUUGGUUCUGGCAUCGAUGAAGAACGCAGCGAAAUGCGAUAAGUAAUGUGAAUUGCAGAAUUCAGUGAAUCAUCGAAUCUUUGAACGCACAUUGCGCCCCUCGGCAUUCCGGGGGGCAUGCCUGUUCGAGCGUCAUUACACCCCUCAAGCGUAGCUUGGUAUUGGACGUUCGCGGGCCCCCUUUGGGGGCCUGCGCGUCCGAAAAACAGUGGCGGUCCCCGGGGAUUUCGCGCGUAGUAAAUAUUCUCCCGCGUUGGAAAGAACCGAUGGGCCCUGCCAAAACCUCCCAUAAAUCUCCAUGAUUGACCUCGGAUCAGGUAGGGAUACCCGCUGAACUUAA